CCUACGGGUGGCAGCAGUGGGGAAUAUUGGGCAAUGGGCGCAAGCCUGACCCAGCAACGCCGCGUGAAGGAAGAAGGCCCUCGGGUUGUAAACUUCUUUUAUUCGGGACGAAACAAAUGACGGUCCCGAAUGAAUAAGCCACGGCUAACUACGUGCCCGCAGCCGCGGUAAUACGUAGGUGGCAAGCGUUAUCCGGAUUUACUGGGUGUAAAGGGCGUGUAGGCGGGAGAGCAAGUCAGACGUGAAAUGCCAGGGCUCAACCGUGGAACUGCGUUUGAAACUGGUCUGCUUGAGUGAGGGAGAGGUAGGGGGAAUUCCGUGUGUAGCGGUGAAAUGCGUAGAUAUACGGAGGAACACCAGUGGCGAAGGCGGCCUGCUGGACAGUAACUGACGCUGAGGCGCGAAAGCGGGGGGAGCAAACGGGAUUAGAUACCCCGGUAGUC
RNAcentral lists this ribosomal RNA (443 nucleotides) under uncultured bacterium. RNAcentral's name for it is "partial 16S ribosomal RNA". It matches the Rfam family "Bacterial small subunit ribosomal RNA", at positions 338 to 795 of the family's 1533-position model. The record is from RNAcentral.